GAUGAACGCUGGCGGCGUGCUUAACACAUGCAAGUCGAACGAAGCACCUUGAUUUGAUUCUUCGGAUGAAGAUCUUGGUGACUGAGUGGCGGACGGGUGAGUAACGCGUGGGUAACCUGCCUCAUACAGGGGGAUAACAGUUAGAAAUGACUGCUAAUACCGCAUAAGACCACAGUACCGCAUGGUACAGGGGUAAAAACUCCGGUUGUAUGAGAUGGACACGCGGCUGAUUAGGUAGUUGGUGGGGUAACGGCCUACCAAGCCGACGAUCAGUAGCCGACCUGAGAGGGUGACCGGCCACAUUGGGACUGAGACACGGCCCAAACUCCUACGGGAGGCAGCAGUGGGGAAUAUUGCACAAUGGGGGAAACCCUGAUGCAGCGACGCCGCGUGAGCGAUGAAGUAUUUCGGUAUGUAAAGCUCUAUCAGCAGGGAAGAAAAUGACGGUACCUGACUAAGAAGCACCGGCUAAAUACGUGCCAGCCGCCGCCGUAA
This 495-nucleotide ribosomal RNA is filed under the name uncultured bacterium. Its description in RNAcentral is "partial 16S ribosomal RNA". It matches the Rfam family "Bacterial small subunit ribosomal RNA", at positions 28 to 523 of the family's 1533-position model. The record is from RNAcentral.